AAGCGCAUAUGACCAGACUUGGCCAGGUUAAUCAUCCAUCGUUCUCGGUGGUGCACUUUGCCUGGCCAGGCCAGCAUCAGUUCGCUUUGGGGGAUAAAGACUUUGGGAAUGUGGCUCCCUCGGGAGUGUUAUAGCCCAUUGUGUAAUACCCUGGAGUGGACUGAGGUUCGCGCAUCUGCAAGGAUGCUGGCGUAAUGGUCAUCUGCGA
This 208-nucleotide ribosomal RNA is filed under the name Nectriopsis microspora. Its description in RNAcentral is "Sesquicillium microsporum partial large subunit ribosomal RNA". The record is from RNAcentral. Lineage: Eukaryota; Fungi; Ascomycota; Sordariomycetes; Hypocreales; Bionectriaceae.